AGCACAGAAGAGCUUGCUCUUUGGGUGGCGAGUGGCGGACGGGUGAGUAAUGUCUGGGAAACUGCCCGAUGGAGGGGGAUAACUACUGGAAACGGUAGCUAAUACCGCAUAACGUCGCAAGACCAAAGUGGGGGACCUUCGGGCCUCACACCAUCGGAUGUGCCCAGAUGGGAUUAGCUAGUAGGUGGGGUAAUGGCUCACCUAGGCGACGAUCCCUAGCUGGUCUGAGAGGAUGACCAGCCACACUGGAACUGAGACACGGUCCAGACUCCUACGGGAGGCAGCAGUGGGGAAUAUUGCACAAUGGGCGCAAGCCUGAUGCAGCCAUGCCGCGUGUAUGAAGAAGGCCUUCGGGUUGUAAAGUACUUUCAGCGGGGAGGAAGGCGGUGAGGUUAAUAACCUUGCCGAUUGACGUUACCCGCAGAAGAAGCACCGGCUAACUCCGUGCCAGCAGCCGCGGUAAUACGGAGGGUGCAAGCGUUAAUCGGAAUUACUGGGCGUANAGCGCACGCAGGCGGUCUGUUAAGUCAGAUGUGAAAUCCCCGGGCUUAACCUGGGAACUGCAUUUGAAACUGGCAGGCUUGAGUCUCGUAGAGGGGGGUAGAAUUCCNGGUGUAGCGGUGAAAUGCGUAGAGAUCUGGAGGAAUACCGGUGGCGAANGCGGCCCCCUGGACGAAGACUGACGCUCA
This 689-nucleotide ribosomal RNA is filed under the name Pantoea dispersa. RNAcentral's name for it is "bacterial SSU rRNA". It matches the Rfam family "Bacterial small subunit ribosomal RNA", at positions 68 to 749 of the family's 1533-position model. Lineage: Bacteria; Pseudomonadati; Pseudomonadota; Gammaproteobacteria; Enterobacterales; Erwiniaceae. The record is from RNAcentral.